UUGAACGCUGGCGGCAUGCCUUACACAUGCAAGUCGAACGGCAGCACGGGAGCAAUCCUGGUGGCGAGUGGCGAACGGGUGAGUAAUAUAUCGGAACGUGCCCGGUCGUGGGGGAUAACGUAGCGAAAGCUACGCUAAUACCGCAUACGAUCUACGGAUGAAAGCGGGGGAUCGCAAGACCUCGCGCGAUUGGAGCGGCCGAUAUCAGAUUAGGUAGUUGGUGAGGUAAAGGCUCACCAAGCCGACGAUCUGUAGCUGGUCUGAGAGGACGACCAGCCACACUGGGACUGAGACACGGCCCAGACUCCUACGGGAGGCAGCAGUGGGAAUUUGGACAAUGGGCGCAAGCCUGAUCCAGCAAUGCCGCGUGCAGGAUGAAGGCCUCGGGUUGUAACUGCUUUGUACGGAACGAAACGGUGAGCUCUAAUACAGUUUGCUAAUGACGGUACCGUAAGAAUAAGCACCGGCUAACUACGUG
RNAcentral lists this ribosomal RNA (478 nucleotides) under uncultured bacterium. RNAcentral's name for it is "bacterial SSU rRNA". It matches the Rfam family "Bacterial small subunit ribosomal RNA", at positions 30 to 507 of the family's 1533-position model. The record is from RNAcentral.